UACGGAGGGGGCGAGCGUUGUCCGAAGUUACUGGGCGUAAAGCGCGCGUAGGCGGGUUGGUAAGUCCGCUGUGAAAGCCCGGAGCUUAACUCCGGAGGGUCGGUGGAUACUGCCAGUCUCGAAGGUGCUAGGGGGAGAUGGAAUUACCGGUGUAGCGGUGAAAUGCGUAGAUAUCGGUAGGAACACCAGUGGCGAAGGCGGUCUCCUGGGGCAUUCUUGACGCUGAGGCGCGAAAGCUGGGGGAGCAAACGGG
This 253-nucleotide ribosomal RNA is filed under the name uncultured bacterium. RNAcentral describes it as "partial 16S ribosomal RNA". It matches the Rfam family "Bacterial small subunit ribosomal RNA", at positions 524 to 776 of the family's 1533-position model. The record is from RNAcentral.